GGGGGGGGCUGUGAGAGACCUUAUGUGGCCUGGGAAGAGUGUCACUGAACUGCUCCCUGCUCUGCAGAUUAAUAUGUUCUAAACUGCCUCCGUAGUCCAUGCACUGGGGCAGGGGGAGGGAGGCGGAGGAGUGGGUUGGAUAAAGAUAGGGUAAAAAAAAAUGGAUCCAAAGGAGGGAGCCAUUGACUUUGGGGGGGGGGAGGAGGAGGAGGAGGCCUGCACUUUAGUUCCCACUCUCACUCAUGCUGGAUUGGCGCCCUUCCUAGAAGAGCAUGCAAUUUUUUAAGUCGAAGGGGUGGCCAUUUUGGAGGACUCACUGUGCUGCCUCGAAGACCUAUCCGCCUGAUUUCUUCUGACCUUGGUGGAGGAUUUGCUGUGAUAGCCUCGAAAAUCGCCUCUCACCUUCCGAAGGUUCCAGGGAGGCUGCAGAUGAGGCACUGGCAGAACGGUGGGCCGCUGAAGACCGCGUCUCACAGCCCGAGGGCGGGAGACGCACGGUGGACUCGGCAGCAUAUGGCAAGGGAGGCUGAAAAGCGGCCGUCGCUGGAAGGGAAGACACUUCGGGUAGCUGAUCAGCGGCCGAUAGCGCUGCUGGUGGCGCCGCAGGAGGGAAAAUGGGCAGACCUUCAAUGGCCAUUGUUGCUGCUAUCAGGUUGUGGGAGGUGGGCCCCGAAAAAAGGCCGAGAUUGACCUGGCCCUGCAUUGCUUUGCCACAGUCCUCUCGUCUUGUCAUUUCAAUGAAUGUCUGGAAUAAACUGAUGAGGUAAUAAAAAAUUCUUAACUUUACAACAAUAUUGUAAAGAAUUAUUAAUUCUUUAAUCUGAAUCCUUGUGAUUGUGAGAAUCACCCUCAUCUUCCAAGUAUUAUUAGGGCUUCAAUUGGUUUAAGUAGAUUAAUUAUGAGAGCUAAUUUUAACUAGUGAUGGCAAAUUUUUAUCAGUGGGUUGGUGAGUAAAAGGGACUCUUUAUGCGAGUACCUAAGUUGGCAUUAUGGAGAAUUGUAACUUUAUUUAAAAUCAGUUUAGUGAUGCAUUAGUUAAAAUGCUAAUUGAUGUGUUUAGAAAACCAAAGAAACUCCAUUUUUGCCCAGAAGACCUCAUUCUAACUUAAAGUAACCUGGCCCAAACUCAGGGACAUCACUGCCUCUCAUGAUUAACAUCAUUAUCUCUCUCCAGCUAAAUUGUAUCUAUGAAACUUGCUAACACAGCUAAGCUUCUCACUGCUAGAAAACAGGAUCUAACCAAAUAAGGAAUAAUCACCAGAUGAACAAUGAAUCAUUCGCAUGCGUACUAGAUACUUAGACCACCAUUUUAUUGCCACGUAUACUGUGUCUAGGGUGUCAGCACCAUUUAGAUUAUUUAUAUAUAUGUUAGGUGAGCCUGUAACCAAACUGUAAUUGGUUUGAGAGCAUGAGCCUACUCAUUACCUAUUGCUGACUGCAGACCAAUAAAGCCUCAAUCCUUGUGUCAGACUGAUUGGUUAAGCGGACCCAGGAAUGAGCCCCAUCCACAUCAAUUUGGUGCUGUGGCUCGGAUGUAGACUCCUGGGUGGUUGUCCGACCCAUCCUGGAACCCGAUACCCCAGCCAGUACUCUGCCUCUUGAGCGGAAAGGGAUCUCGGGAAACCAGGAUGCGCUGUUCACCACAACACGCUGCAUCUGAGAACAGUGGGAUGCAGGGGGGAGGGAGAGUGAAUUCCAGAAAGGCGUCUCUUGUUGGAAAAGAGGAAAGAAAAUGGAGUUUGAAGGAAUGCGUGUGAUGUAGUUCUGUGCAGGGAAUUGUAGAGAAAAGACUGGAAGGAGAUGUGAACAGAAGGGAAGGAAUGUCUUAAGGGUUUUAGUUGGAAGUUGUUAAAAAGUUGAAAAGCACCUGUAAGCUGUGAUGUGGAAAGGUAAUAUGGAAUCACAGAUUGUUUUGUGGAUGACUGUAAUAACAGUUUGUUUUGUUUGAGCUCCUUUCUUAACUGAGUUUUAUGGGUAAAUGAUUGUUUGCCCUAAACAUAUUUAAAAUGUUAUAAAAUCCUAUGUGACCCAUGUGAAAUUCCCUGUUUAGUCCCUUGCUCUGUGAAAUACACAAGACAAGCCUGUGUGUGUGUGUGUGUGCAUGUUUCUGAGCGGGAGCCCAAUGCUCUGGUUCUGUGCAGGAAUCCUCAUUUUGUUAAACUGCAAUGAUCUGGGGAAAAGCCAAAACCCCCAUCAAUCUUAUAACUCAUCCCUGAGAAGAUGAGGUUUCUGUUGUAUUUGUGAAUGUAUUCUAGUGACAUGUCUUUUCCUGUAAACUGUUCCAGAACAAACUUGCUCUGACAUUGGAUUCCAAAAUUUGCAGUUAUUAUAUUAAUUGAACAUAAAAUUGGUCGUGGCCUGAGCAACAGGGGGAACUUUCAGCAGUCCCAGCUGGCCACCUGGGGUGCUGACGUUUUCCUUCUUUGUGAGUCUCCCCCCACCCCACAAAAGGGAGGUGCUGCUUAUGGCUGGCUAAAUGCAUUAGGCAUAAGUUGAUUGUGUUAUUUCUGCCACUACUGAAUGUCAUAGGACUUUAUAUGUUAUGCUUACUGAUUUCCUUGACAUGGUCUCUCUUACCUAUUUUCUGUUAGCUCAAAACUUUGCUCUUUUCUCUAACCGGACAUUUUCCCUUUUACUUUUUUCUCACAACUGUUAACUGACCUCUGGUGAACAAUGAUAACUCCGCCCAUUUCCGGAUGGGAGGAGGAAGGAGGUUCUCUGUAAAGCAGUUUGUGUUCCAGCCAGUUAAUUGUGGGUGAGAAUUAAAAAUAGGAUUUGAAGAUAAAUUAGUCUAUUUGUUUUUUGUUUUUGCAAAAUCUAUGCAAUAUUUCUGCUAACUUUUUGAUGUAAACUGAGAGCUAAUAAUCAAAUGGUCUAAGGCUUAAAUUUUAAAUUUGUCUCAUCUGCUAGCCCUGCUUUGCCUUCACAGUAGCUGAAUCCCAGUAGCUGAAUGAUGAGAUCCCAGAUUUGAGAUUUGAUGAAAAGAAUUUUGUUUUGCCACUCCUGCAAGUGGAAGGGAGUUCCAAAGUACCGGUUUGCAUUUCACCUGGAAGACUUCCCAGUUUAAAAGGAUCAAGCUUUGUAUGUUACUGUGAAACCCAUACCCUGUUUUCACAGCUCCUGAUGAGAGACUUGACUUGAUUAUCACAGGUUUCACCCCUCUGCAAGAUUAUGGACCAUUUUUCUGAUAACACCUUUUGCUAAAGAGGCCUGUAAAAAGGGACACUUUGAUUUGCUUCAUGAGACAUUAGGCCUUGCCCAGAAGUCUCAAUCCUAUUUCAACAAGGUAUAGUAUUUUUGCCUGGGGGCAGGGACUUUUUCUUUCUUAUAUAGGCUUCUCAUGAGGAUAUUGUUACCCUACAAGGAUGUCAAACCCUUACUCAUUGGUCACUUGCUAGUUAUGAGGCUAAAGAUGGAGAGCUGGAACACCACAACUAUCUACACAUGACCUAGAUGAAGAUCCCAAAGCCAGAUGUUACUGACGAAUCACCCCUUUAUGGAGAAUAAAGUCAGGUAUACUGGAUGGAGAUUGAAUGCCCUGACAAAGGCCUGUAAAUAUGAUUGUCAGCCAGUGUGGUGCAGUGGUUAGAGUGCUGGACUAGGACCGGGGAAACCCGAGUCCAAACCCUCAUUCAGCCAUGACACUUGCUGGGUGACACAGGGCCAGCCACUCAAAUGGUCUGUCCUGCCUCACAGGGUUGUUGUAAGGAGGAAGAACAGGAUACAGAAGAGACUGUGAGAUGCCACAUGGAAACAGAACUUUGUCAGCAGUUACACCCAAAGGGCCUUGGUGAAAUUCAAGCGCUGGAGUUCUAUGUUGCAGCCUCUCGAGUGAUAAGACUAUGUUUGACCUGUCAGGCAGCCCUGUCAGGCUUUAAUGCUUCCUCAAAACCCCCAAAUCAUGAGGGGGGUGAAAAUGUGGAUGCCCUUUUUCCUUUUGACUUUGUUGCUUUGCCUUUUGCCCAGGAUUGCCGUUUUGUCCUCGUGAUCAGAGACCAGCCUACAACACAAGCCACCAAGCCCUAAAUGCAGACAUUAUCCCCUGUUCUGGACUUCGGCGGGGAGAGGGGCCCAGGGCAAGAAGCGAAACAAAAACAUAAAUUGGAAAAAAUGCCAAAAGACCACAUUGAAAAUAGCCUCAGGUCUUAUCCAUCCAUUGUAUUAUUUGCCUUGAAAACUUGACUUUUCCUUUUGUGCUGAUGGUUGGCACCCAGGGACUUAGUCUCAGGACGCUGUCCCUACAUGGGGGGAGGGAAUUGGUAACUCACUUGCCUGUCUUUCUCUCAAGUAAACAGGUUUGCAACCAACAGUGCCUUGAAUUGUCUUUCCGAGAAGGAUUGGUCCUCCCCAGAUUGAAGGAGUACCUGGAUCCAACCCUGACCCAGGAGCACUAACCAUCAGCAGCAGCAGCUACCCGAGGGGAGUCCCUAUCUGCGUUUCCAGUCCAACCCAAUGGUGACAGAAUGUCCAUCUGCUGCCCUGUCCUGUGUUCAAGGAAGAGGGCCUAAUGCAAAGUCCAUCUUCCUGCUCCUGAGUGCUGUAGCAGAGGAAUAGACAACGAAUGCCUGAAGAGUGCCUGACAGCAAACAGGCAAGCCAAUUUGUUUACUUUUCUCUGGAGUCAUAUGUGCAACAGCAUCUCCCCAAGCCUUUAGUCACUCCUGUAAAGCCCUGGAACCAUCCUACCCGGGUAAGAUACCCUGCCAAAGACACUAUUUCAAAUUCUGCCAAAGACAUUAUAUCAAAUUGUCCACCGGGGGGGCGGGGGGCAGUCAAGGCUCCCAGACACAUGAACGUUCAAGCUUGUCUAUGGACACUAGUCAAACAGGCCAAAACAACACUGAUCAGAGAACAUUUAGGAUAGCCAGAAUCCUGCAAUGUUGGACAAGAGCAUUUGGAAGGCAGAACCAAUUGAAGGACUAAAAUGGCUUUUUAAAAAACCAAAAACCAAGGACUCUUAGUUUUUGGAAUUCUAGGGCUCUCCAUGGCCUCCUUUUGGCCAUGGCAGACUCUAGAGGACACUAAGGGGGGGUGGGAGUUGAUGACUUACAUCACUUUCUUGUAGUGACUAUGAGCUAUAAUUAUGUUGGAAACCCUGCUAUCCCCUGUGCUGUAAGGACAUGAACCUCACAUGCUUGCUUUCUGGUCAUUUCCUUAUUUGCUUCCCUGACACCUUGUGCCAAUCAUCUCAUAGUUUCACCCAGAGCAUCUACCUGCAAGUCUGCACCUUUCCCUAACUUACUGGUUCCUUUUUGCACUCUAAAGACAUUAAGCUAGCCCAAGCUUUACCUGCCAGUUUUCUAAGACACCUGUAUCCUUUAACUAAUGUGACUGUACAUGACUUCUCAUUACCAUUGCUUUCCAUGAGCUGAUAAUCCAUUAAUCACCAGAAGCACCUGGUUCCACAAUGCAAGGCUGUUAUUGAUACUUUAUUUGGGAUGGAGUUGGGUUAAGACAAUGUUGCUUGCUAUAAGUUGUAUGAUCUUUAUAUGUACACCUUGCUGCUAUGUAUAAAACCUUUUAUCUAUAUCAAAUCAGGCCGGAUAUGGGUGAUUAAGGAUAUGUGUCUUAAUUUAUGGAAUUAUACUAAUUAUGCUUGUAGCUCUAGGAUCUUGUAUGCAAUGUUUCUAGUUUUAUUACCAUGUGUACAGCCCAUUUAGCACCUACCAUUUCUGUAAAAUCUAUGCUUAGGCAUCCCAAAAUCACAUGUCACAAAUCCUUUAGCCACAUGAAACACAGAACUAUAUUUCCAAGGCAAAGAAGAUAAUUCUAGUUAUAGCAUGUAUUUUCUUUUUAUUGAUAGUCACAUGUUGCUGCUUACAAUGCAUUCCAGCUUUAAUCCAAAUGUUUAUGAGAACCUUUAAACCUCGCCAUAAUGUAAGACCUAAUUAUACAGCUGUACCUUUACAAGCCUUAAGACAUCCUGAAGAUUCAGGAUAGUCCAAUUUCAGGGGGGAAUUGAUUUGUUUAAAAAACCAAAGAAACUCCAUUUUGCCCAGAAGACCUUAUUCUAACUUAAAGUAACCUGGCCCCCAAAAUCAGGGACAUCACUGCCUCUCAUGAUUAACAUCAUUAUCUCUCUCCAGCAAAAUUGUACACAGCUAAGCUUCACAUUGCUAGAAAACAGGAUCUAACCGAAUAAGGAAUAAUCACCAGAUGAACAAUGAAUCAUUCACAUGCGUACUACUUAGACCACCAUUUUAUUGCCACAUAUACUGUGUCUAGCGUGUUAGCACCAUCUUGAUUGUUUGUAUAAAUGUAAGGUGCACCUGUAACCAAACCUUAAUUGGUUUGAGAGCAUGAGCCUACUGAUUACCUAUUGCUGACUGCAGAGCAAUAAAGCCUCAAUUAAUAAUUCCCAA
Long non-coding RNA from Hemicordylus capensis (graceful crag lizard), 6361 nucleotides. RefSeq lists it as uncharacterized. The record is from RefSeq and is a predicted model, not a curated record. The transcript has 2 exons. Lineage: Eukaryota; Metazoa; Chordata; Lepidosauria; Squamata; Cordylidae.